RNA transcript from Myxocyprinus asiaticus (Chinese sucker), 2169 nucleotides. It is a transcript of the gene named origin recognition complex, subunit 5, with no coding region annotated. The record is from RefSeq and is a predicted model, not a curated record. Lineage: Eukaryota; Metazoa; Chordata; Actinopteri; Cypriniformes; Catostomidae. The transcript has 16 exons.
UACGUAGAGAACUACACAUAGCGUGCAUUGCAGAGCGGGAAAGAGGUGUAAAGUUUAUUCUGCUGGAUGUGGACGCUGCAACUAUAAUGCCUUUAACGCUGCUGUCUGCUGGUUAUCCUGAGGACACAAUGCGCUCUCUGACUGACAGACUGCCAUGUAGAGAGACACAGGUCACCUCACUACUGGCACUCAUGGGAGAGCCAGAUCAAUACAGUUAUCCUUCAAUCUUCAUCUAUGGCCAUAGAUCAACUGGAAAGAGCCAUGUGGUGCUCUCCAUCAUGAAGGACCUGGAGAUUCCCCAUGCUUCUGUGGACUGUGUGGAGUGUGUGUCUCCCAGGCUGCUUUUUCACCAGGUGUUAUUGGCCUUUUUUGGCCCAGAUGCUGCGGCGUUGCUGCCCCGCUGUCCGUCUUUGUCAGACUUUGUGCGACUUUACAAACAGAUGAAAGAUCAUGCCACUCAGACACGCUAUAUAAUUCUGGACAAAGCUGAACGCAUGAGAGAUAUGGAUUUCAGUCUGCUUCCUGUUCUUCUGCGCCUCCAGGAAUUGGUUGAUGAUAACGUGACAGUUAUCCUGCUUAGUGAAAUUGUCUGGGAGAAGUUUAGGCCCAACACCGGCUGCUUUGAACCUCUGCUCUUUCAUUUCCCUGACUACAGUAAAGCGGAGCUAGUUCAGAUCCUGUCUCAGGACCAUCACCCAUCCUACACCCCUGAGCUCUAUGCCUCCUACAUCAACAUACUGCUUGGAGUUUUUUUUUCUGUGUGUCGGGAUCUGAGAGAACUCCGGCACCUGGCUGCACUGAAUUUCCCCAAGUUCUGUGAACCCCUGGAGAAGGGAGAGGCCACAGAGAGUGAUAUUCACAAGUUAUGGAGAAACAUUGAGCCCCAUCUGCAGAGAGCCAUGCAGACGGUUUACCUCCGAGAGGUGUCCAGCAUCCAAUGGGAGCAGCAGCAGAUGGACGAAAAGGAGGCCACGACCCCCAGAGGUCUCUCAGCCCAUGCUCACAUAGAGCUGCCUUAUUACUCCAAGUUUCUUCUGAUCGCUGCUUACCUGGCAUCCUAUAAUCCCGCCCGCACAGAUCGACGUUUCUUUGUCAAGAGUCACGGGAAACUAAAAAAGACUAAUUUCUUGAAGAAACAUGAGAAGACUAGUAACCAUCUGUUAGGACCGAAGCCUUUUCCACUUGACAGAUUGUUGGCCAUAUUUUACAGUGUGGUUGACAGCAGAGUUGCACCUACAGCCAGUAUCUUUUCACAGAUCACGUCUCUAGUUAUUCUGCAGCUUCUCACUCUGGUGGGACACGAUGACCAGCUGGACUCUCCCAAAUACAAAUGUGCAGUAUCACUGGACUUCAUUAUUGCGAUCUCCAGAACUGUAAGUUUCGAUGUGGUAAAGUAUCUGUAUGACUUCCUAUGAGUCUGUGGACAUAAAGCAGGCCUCUGAAUGGACAAAGCACUUGGAAUUACUUGGAUGGACAGCAACAAGGUUCCAGAAGCCUGAGAUCUACUCUUUCUGCAUUUAUUAGUCCAAUCAGGUGACACUUUGGGAAAAUAAAGUUCAUGUGAGAGACUGAAACAAUGCUUACUUCUUUCUCAAAUGGAAUUAUGGUGGAUUUGGUUUGUUGAUGGGUGACAACUUAAAGUUGGUCCAUAAAAAUAAAAAUGGCAUUAUUUGUUAUAAUAAUGUGUCUGUGUUUUUGUUUGUUUGUUUGUUUUUUUGCCCUUGUCUUCAAAUCUGUUUAAUUAUCAUACAUAUACUGUAAUGAGUUAAGGGUGGUUUGGCACAUAAUAUUUGGAUUUAAAUAGAAUGGGGGGGGGGCCUCUGAAGUGUGCUUUGCUCAAAAUGUAUUACAGCAAGAGCCAGUGAAAGGUACAAGCCCUACAUUAAUCAUUGUUUUUAUGAAAUACAAAUCAUGUACAUACAUAGGCUUUAGUCUUAUCUGUUGAUAUUGAUAUAUGUUGAUGCAUUGUUUUUGCAGCAUUUCUCUUGAUGGCUGACAUCACAUCUCUCCCAAACCACAUGACUUAACACCAAGGACAACUCGGCUUUGUGAAAUGACCUCAUUAUCAUUUUGAAACAAGAUGGCAAAGCAAAGUGAAUAACAAUCACCUUCUCAGUGGUGGACAAAGAAAACCCAGAACAACUGCAAAAUGAAGACCAGGAGAAAGCA